Long non-coding RNA from Perognathus longimembris pacificus (Pacific pocket mouse), 888 nucleotides. RefSeq lists it as uncharacterized. Lineage: Eukaryota; Metazoa; Chordata; Mammalia; Rodentia; Heteromyidae. The transcript is spliced from 3 exons. The record is from RefSeq and is a predicted model, not a curated record.
CUGCUGGAGGACUGCAUUAGGAUUCACAAGGAGAGAGUGGUAGGGAGGAGGAGGGUGGGGGGAAUUGAUCUAGUACCAGGGAGAAUAUUCCACUGAACUGUGAUUUUAUGGCUUAGGGCAGGGUGUGGGGUGGGGGUGGAUUCUUUAAAGGGCCCUGCAAUGUGUUCCUCUGUGGUGUGUGGGAGUGGGGAGCAGACUUGUCUUGCUGUCUUUGUCAGGAUUUCUAAGUAAGGGCUGUGUCUUUGUGGAUUACCUUUUCUUCCUGCCAGAGAUCACAUUAGGAAGAUGUUGGGGAUAGAUUUAGCUUGAUUUGUUUUCUUUGUUCUUUUCUUCUGUCUGCUCCCUGCUUAACCCUUGGUUUUCUCAUUCCUCUGGAGUUCUCUUAGAGCAGCCCCUGUUGUUAGUUGGCUGGCAAGGGAAUUUCUGAUGACUGUAGUUCCUUAGUUAGGUCUUAGCAAUCAAACCAAAUCAAUGUCUCCCUUUAUGUUUCUUCGUGUGUGUGUGUGUGUGUGUGUGUGUGUGUGUGUGUGUGUGUUCGUUCAGGGUAGAGGGGAGGGAGGGGGCAGAACAGGUGGAAUCUAGGUGUAUGGGUAGGUAGGGGGCAUGGUUAGUUCUAAGUGAGUCUUUUGGCAUGUCUGUGUGGGAGUGGAUACAAGUGUUACCACCUCCCACUCCCCAGUCAUCUAGAUCAGAUUUUCUGCCCUAUUUGGUUGCCUGCUCCCUGAGAAGGCUUUGGGACAAGAUGGCUAUGCUGCUGUCUGCCUUGGAGCUGGGUCUCUGUGGAGGGGAAAAGUGACUUUGCAGAUGGUUACAGCCUCUGGUGGGGAGGUAGGAUGGAAGUAAUAAAGGGCAGGGAAGAGCUUCAGUGGAGCUUGAGUGGAGGUGAAA